UGGGGAAUUUUACACAAUGGGGGAAACCCUGAUAUAGCAACGCCGCGUGGAGGAUGACGGAUUUAGGUCUGUAAACUCCUUUUAUAAGGGAAGAAAUUUGACGGUACCUUAUGAAUAAGCACCGGCUAACUACGUGCCAGCAGCCGCGGUAAUACGUAGGGGGCAAGCGUUGUCCGGAUUUACUGGGUGUAAAGGGCGCGCAGGCGGGAUAAAAAGUCAGAGGUGAAAUCCUACAGCUUAACUGUAGAACUGCCUUUGAUACUUUUAUUCUUGAGUUCGGGAGAGAGAGACGGAAUUCCAGGUGUAGUGGUGAAAUACGUAGAUAUCUGGAAGAACACCAGUUGCGAAGGCGGUCUCUUGGUCCGACACUGACGCUGAGGCGCGAAAGCGUGGGGAGCAAACA
RNAcentral lists this ribosomal RNA (403 nucleotides) under uncultured bacterium. RNAcentral's name for it is "bacterial SSU rRNA". It matches the Rfam family "Bacterial small subunit ribosomal RNA", at positions 355 to 774 of the family's 1533-position model. The record is from RNAcentral.